UACAGAGGUCUCAAGCGUUGUUCGGAUUCAUUGGGCGUAAAGGGUGUGUAGGUGGCGCCGUAAGUCGGGUGUGAAAUUUCGGAGCUUAACUCCGAAACUGCAUUCGAUACUGCGGUGCUUGAGGGCUGGAGAGGAGACUGGAAUUCAUGGUGUAGCAGUGAAAUGCGUAGAGAUCCGGAGGAACCCCAGAGGCGAAGGCGGCGCUCUGGCUCGCAACUGACGCUCAGACACGACAGCAUGGGGAGCGAACGGG
This 253-nucleotide ribosomal RNA is filed under the name uncultured bacterium. Its description in RNAcentral is "partial 16S ribosomal RNA". It matches the Rfam family "Bacterial small subunit ribosomal RNA", at positions 524 to 776 of the family's 1533-position model. The record is from RNAcentral.